GGACAGUUCCUAGAUGAAAUACUUUUCCUCCCAACUCUCUUUCUCCUUUGCGAGGCUGUCCGAUACAAAGGGGUGUACUGCAGCUCCAGCUCCCAAAGCCACACGCAGACCACCGCCUGUCUGGACCUGAGGGCUGAGCUUUCUUCUUUUCUUUCUGGCUGUGCCUUUUUACCUUCUCGACAAGUAGAAUGAGGUGAAAGGAGCUGUCCUUUUAAGUCUUUGCACCUCCAUUUGUCUGCAGCUUCUUUCUGCUCAGGCUUGUGUGUCUGUGUGUGCCAAUGCCCCCGGCCGACAGUACUGGACGCCCCUUAAAGUGGAGCCCCAGCUAUUUCUGAAUCUCGCUCUUUCUCUUUUUCGAGUUCCAGGAUCCUUCUUAUCACCCUUUCCCCCACAGUCUGGCUUAGUCCCUUUGUUUCCGAGCGUAAAAGCACUGGGAUUAAUAUAGUUUCCAGGCUGAGGGAAAACACAGGAAUGUGAUGUUGAAAAAGGACUUUUUUCUUUUCCUUACGCUUCUCUCCUCCCUUUAUUUCUUCCCACCUUUUUCUCUCCUCUUUUCCUUCUCCUUUUUCUUCUUCCUCUUGCCUGGAUUCAGUCCCCGCAAUGCCAGGACAACCUCAGUUUUGAUCCAGACCAAACUCAAACAACAGCAGCCACUGGAAAUCAAGGAAACUUCACUAAGAAUUUAACAGAUCAGCAAAACACCGCCUCCUUCCCAUUUCAGCAUGCAUUCACAGCGUAGGACAAACUGAAGAAAUGAACAGCAAAGUCAAGGGGAAAGCCCACAGUGACCAUGAACUCAGGAUUCUGCUGCUGCGGCUGCCCAGAGAAAUGCUGAGAAAGGGUAAUCCCCAAAAAGAAACACUCUGAAAUGUCAACAAGCUCACAGGUUUAAUCUGAAGUUGAGGAUUCUGCUUGGAUGUGGUGUUGGAUGUCGAGGAAAGUAGGAGGUAAAUGGGACAUUGAAGAUUCGACAUUCAUUGCAGCUGCAAACUGUAGUAAAAAAUCACUGGAGGACAGCAGACAGCUUUUCAUAGUCGGAGCACAAGAAAUGGAAUUUUGAAUUUUGAAUGGAGGAGCAAUAAGAGACAAGAUGGGAAGAAAAGGCAGAGCGAAGAAUACAGAGCCCUUGGCAUGCCACGGUAAAGGUGUUGGACUUGUUCUGAGUGCGGCAAAAAGCCAUUGAAGGAGUGAGUGUAUCAUGAUAACAUUUGCCUCUUAGAUAACUCUAAAAAUGGAUCAGAGUAUUGUAUAAGGUGUAGAGCCCUGGGUGGAAAGGUUGCAUAAAUUCAUGAUGCCGUUUUAUCCUAAAAUUCAGGAGACACCUGAGCCAAUGGGACAAACACACAGAACAACGUAGUCCUUUUCCCAUUUUCCAGCUGAUGACCUAGAACCAAACCUGGAUUUCUUUUUUCUUUUUAAAAAACAUCUUAUUGGGCUUCCCUGGUGGCGCAGUGGUUGAGAAUCUGCCUGCUAAUGCAGGGGACACGGGUUCGAGCCCUGGUCUGGGAAGAUCCCACAUGCCACGGAGCAGCUGGGCCCGUGAGCCACAACUACUGAGCCUGCGCGUCUGGAGCCUGUGCCCCGCAACGGGAGGGGCCGCGAUAGUGAAAGGCCCGCGCACCGCGAUGAAGAGCGGUCCCCGCACCGCGAUGAAGAGUGGCCCCCACUUGCCUCAACUAGAGAAAGCCCUCGCAUGAACCGAAGACCCAACACAGCC
This is a long non-coding RNA of Balaenoptera musculus (blue whale), 1717 nucleotides long. Lineage: Eukaryota; Metazoa; Chordata; Mammalia; Artiodactyla; Balaenopteridae. The record is from Ensembl.